Long non-coding RNA from Bombus huntii, 6844 nucleotides. RefSeq lists it as uncharacterized. The record is from RefSeq and is a predicted model, not a curated record. Lineage: Eukaryota; Metazoa; Arthropoda; Insecta; Hymenoptera; Apidae. The transcript is spliced from 2 exons.
AUUGUAUAAAUCGUACAUUAUAAUAAAAACAUUUAUCUGACGAUUUAAUUGGCCUCAUUUACAAGCUAUUCCCUUGAUAAAGAAAUUGCACAAAUUUUAUGAAUACAACCGUGUGUAAUUAGUAACUCGUUUACUUGCCCGUUGGGGCAUGAACACAAAAGAGCUCGUGAAUAUUCACCGUAACACGCAUAAAAGAUAAGUGAAAAAUGAAUGACUAAUAUUAUCGUAAAAUCUAAUAUUAAGCAAAUCGAUAUUAAAAUAAUAUUAAGACACUGAUACAAAAAAAUCACCGCUAACUUUUACUUCAUUCUAUUACAAUUAAAUAUUAUAGAACGAUUCUAAAAUUUUCCACCUUUAUACAAAAAAAUCAGCCUGACCUUCGCUUCGUACUAUUACGAUUUAAAAAAUUAUAAAACCACUCAAAAAUAUUAUUACAAUUAAAAGUUAUAAAACGCUUUUAAAAUUUUCAUCUUUUUUAUAUAACAAACACUAGUUAUUACGAUAUUACAAAUUAAAUUAAUAAAAUAAUUUCGAAAUACUAUUACACUUAAAAAUUAUAAAACAACUUCAAAAUUCUGACCUACUUUCAUUGCUCUCUACUUCCAUCAAACAUCGCUGAUAAAACGAUUUAAAAAUUCUCACCUAUCUUCAUACAAAAAGGCUAUUCUAUCCUCCAACUCGCGAAGCAAACAAUAGAAAUUAAUUCUGUAUACCGUCAAACAGAGGACAAAGGACCGACACGUCACGAUGAAAAUCAGCAUCAGGAGGAAAUCGCAAGGGAGCCGGUGUGUUCCGAUCUGAUUAACUCUCCGAUGUGUCCGAUUCUCCGAUGAACUGCGAGCCAAAACGCGGAUACUCCGCGAUAUCGGUCGUUCCAGAUCAUUUCUAUGCCCCGUUGGCGGGUAGAAAGUUGGCUACUUGGUGGAAAAAGCGUAUUUUCCACGCGCUACUAAUGAUACCAACGUAAUGCUUUCCUCCUUUCGCGGCUCGCAUUGUCGAACCGCGUGAAAAGGAGCGUUUUCAAACUGUCGCCUGGCACGCGACGGAACAAAGAACGAAGCCGGGCGAAACAGGUCGAGGGAAAAACGUCGUGGAGAAAAGGAACAACAGGAUAAAGAGCGAAUAAAAAAAAGGAAAGGGGAAAAAAGAAAAUGCAACGCCGGAAUAACAGAAAACAGAGGAAUGCUCGAACAUUCCUCGAGCGAGCGUGACGCAACCCGUUGUUCGAAGCCUGGCUACUGUGUGUACUUUCUAUUUGACGCGUGUGCUAUUGUUGUCGCCGUUGAACGACGCUGUGCAAUGGGGACGAAGGAAAACUGGUUACUGAAUGCCAUAAAAGCGGAUGCCUUUUCGCGAGACGUCGAAAAUCGUCGAAACUCUGAGGAUGUGUUGUUCCAUCAUUGAAAAAGAAAAAGAUCGAGAGGGGCUUUUUACUCGGGAACAUCUUGCCCGACGACUCCUUUGAAAUUUAAAACAACUAUAGAGCGUUCUUGCACAAUUAAAUCAAUAUCGUUUACGUAGAUUACUUUUAUGUGUUCGUGAAAGAAACGUACAAAGAUGUAGAUAAUACAUAUGAUAUGUUAAAAUAAAUAAAGCAUCCAAAGUAUUCGUUAUAACGUUUGAUAGAUGGAACGACUUUUUAUCUAAAUUUCCUUUCCUUAGUUAUAUUCACAGAAAUAUAACAUUGCAUAAAUAUCUGCAAUCUAAUUAUCAGCGAAACUUGACAAAUCAUGAUUAGAAAUUUAGGAUUCAUGCUUGCGAAAAUUCUAUGAAAAACCUUGCCCAUCCUCGAAAAAACUAGCUGUCGAUAACACAUCCAAAAGUGAAUGUCUUUUCGCGGGAAGCUCUAACUGGCUCAACACUCUGCAUUUCUACUUCCGAAAGAACAUCAAGCGUGAUUCUUGACGUGGAAACAUUUUGUUCGACGACUCAUUCAAAAUUCGAGAAAGAUAUACCAGGAACCAUUGGUCCUGUCCUAUGGGAGAAAGCAACGUAUUGUAAGGACGUACAAGGGAUAAAGGAUUCAUCCAGUUCGAAUGAAUACGGGAUAAACGAGCGGCGGAAGCACACAGAGGUUCCUCUCUAUUUUCGAACGAAAAUCGCGAUCCGGUCUCCUGAACCGGCGAAUGGGGACGUUCCAAUUUUCUACAGGAUCUUCUUCGGGGUUGGCAAAGGUUUGGAAAAAUGAUGCAACGAUACUUUUGUCGCGGCAAUAUCCCUCGAUGUAUGUAUAUCGUGUGUACUUAGUAAAAAUGCAUAUAUUUGGAAAAAUUUCAUGCUGAAGCUAGUGGAUAAAAGUUUCGACGAUAGCGUAGUUUUCGUGUAGAUGGGCACUUGGGAGAAAUCAGGACUUCGUUGUUGGAUUAAAGUAACGUUAGUAGCGAAAUUUUACAAGUUACCUAGUUAUGGCUGUUGUGGAAAUUUUCGCACGUUAGUAUAACAGGUUUGAUAAUAUGUACAAGUUUCAACUCUUAUUUUUCAAUACACGAGAUGAUGUGUUUUAUUAUAUUCAUAAUAAAGGUGUGUCGUGGAAGGAUCGAUACCUUUCUGUUUUAGCGUCAUUUGUUUUGUGUUGAAGUCAUAUCAAUCAUUAGCUAGCAAUCGUGUAGUAUGGGUCAUACAAUUUUAUUACGGUCGUUUGACGCCUCAACAAUUUGUCGCUAUAAUACAACUUUUAUCAAAGUCAGUAAUCCGUUAUGCAAAUACAAAGAGGAUUACGGUGAAUUCAUUGGUCCCUCGCUCCUCUCACCUAACAGCACCAGACAUUUUCCUUCGGGAAUACUUGAAAAGUAAGGCCUAUGCAAACAAGUCCGGACCACGGUCAUUCAAGAUCUCAAAUUCGAAAACUAAUACGAAAGUUAUUCGCAGCUCAGAUCCAAUGACCAAGAAUUAAUGAUUGGGAACAAGACCAAUCAACUUUUUCGUUAUCUUUUCUCAACUUUUUCUCUCGUACAAAAGAUGGGUCACAUUUACGGAUAACCCAUCGAAAUAGAAAUUCAAAAUUUGAUGUGAUUAAAAUACGCGUUGAUACCGUUCGUGAAAAAAGGAUCCAAUCUCCUGUUCCAGAAAAAGCUCGAAGAAGACGCAUAUCCGCGUGUUUAAUGAUCUCGACCGCGCCCACAAAGGAGAAUAAACGAUUUCUUUGAGGAGAACCGCGACCGCUUUCUUCGUGAAACGCUAUUGGAAACUCUUUGUGCCACUGGUCUCGUACCACGAAGACAAAGUCGGUGACUACGAAUCGGUUGAUCCGCGAAUAUACAUGGCCGACCAAAAGGAUCAAGGAACGCGGUGAAAAUUCCGAUUUUUUGGAUAGUAUCAACGAAAUCCUCGGGGUUGCAAUCCAGCUAGUUGGCUCGAUAACAAUCGAACGUAGAAUGCAAUAGGAUACAAUAGUAUUUUGACAAUAGUCGACAAUGAAAGAACGUUUCGAUCGGAAACUUUCGGUUCGUGCAAAUGAACCAGCAGAUUUUUAGUCCUUUCACAUUUAUGGACAUAUCUGGCGAAGCAAUUUUGUUCAGACGAUACUUGGAAUAAGAUAUCUGAUUUGUUUGAUAUUAGUAUAGUAGUAUUUAAUAUUUAUUGGAUAUCAUUAUUUAGAAUUAACAAAGUCAUGCAUGAAUACACGUCUGGCUUAAUAAGCGAUUCUAUAAAGUAACAAAGUUAUUAAUGAGCGUGCUAGGAUUUUUACCAGAUUUUUUAGAAAACAUGGAACGGUAAAAGAUUAAGCCCAGAGAUGGAAAAAGUCCAUCCUUCGAUUUCUCUUCAUCUAAUUUUUACUUUUCUCAAAAAAAAAAAAAAAGAUUUCGAACAUUUGAUGUAAAUAGUAAUUCCAUAAUAUAAUAGAGAUAUUGGCGAGCUUCCCAAAAUUUUAUCAGAUUUUACAAAAGCGUAAAACACAAUAGAAAAAAAGCUGGCAUUCGUAAAUUUUUACUUUUAUCGAAAAAGGUCUCAAACAUUUGAUUUAAAAUAUGCUUGGAUAAUAUAAUAGAAGCAUCGUGGAACAUCCCAGAUCUGUUUAAAAUUUUUUUUAAGCGUGGAAUAGUAAAAAAAAUUAGGCUUGGACAUGGACGACCUAGUUUGCCUGGGAUGAAUGGAAGACUAUGUUUGCUUAGGGUUGAAAGUAUAAUAGAACUUACGGUUAGUGUUCUUAACUCUGGCACGCCAAUAAAUGAGAUGUCUCAAACUAUUUCUUACAAAGAUCCACGAACGAGAUAUCUUGUGUUUUGUUGUAAAAGAAAACGCGAAAUAUCUGGUUCAGAGCAUCGCAUAAACAACAUUGCAUCACAAGAUAUCUUAUCCACGAAUACAAGAGGAUUAACAGAGCGUCAUUUCACUCAUUUGUGACACAGUUGGAACAGAGAAAUGCAAAACGAUGAAAACAAACGCACAGUCGUUAUGGGUUAGCAAAAAUUAACAUAAACGAGAUAGUAAAACGAUUACUAAUGUCUCUGCCCAGUGACAAAUACCGAUUACGAUUAUUUGUGGAGCUCAAACUACAGGAAACUGGCUGCUGAAUAUAAUCAGGCAAGUAUGCAUUCAUUGAAUAGUUCGUCACGACCAGUGAAAUGUUGUUUAUGAAACGUUACCUAAUGGACAAAUAAUGAAAUUAAACAAAUAUCAAGAACAAUAAGAAUGAAAUGUCCAAAAUGAGAACAGUAUGGUUUGUUAUGACAAUAGUAACGAGCUUCGAUCUUGUUUUACGUGUCAAUAUUGAUUAAAUAUACAAUAUUCUCGCGUAAUAAAAUAUAAAAUGAUGGAAGACUGGCGCGAAACUUUAUAACAGGUUCGAAGUAUCGAUUCUCAUUACUCGUUCGAGUAAUUACUUGAAAAUUGCAGCCAUAGUCGGUUUCAUUGCUCCAAAACGCGUUUCCGCGCCUCUAAAAGCACACAUUGUAAUUCUAGAUGCGAGUAUCAUAAAUACCAAAGCUGAAUUUCUACUGGAUCGAAAUCCCUCCCCAAUGAGAGUAGUAAUUGUUUCCCAUUUAAACAAUCAUUGCUGCACACGCUUCUGUGGUACCUCCAUUUCCGAGCUUUACGUCGCGCGGUGCGACUAAAAUAUCUAACAAAAUCGUUUCGUUUUGAUCUUUGAUCUAUGCGAAACCUCGUACAUUUUUCGUUAUUUACGUUUGUCGGAUAUGCACGAACAUCCACAGCUUACUAAUUAUAAUUUAACUCAUUCCAAAUAUAUAUUGAUUUAACUAAAAUCAAGUGAAUAGUCAGGAUUACUAGCUAUAUAUAAAUCAUAAAUCAUAAAUCAUAGAAGUAUUAAUUAAAUCGAAGAAGAUUUAAGAUUAAAAGGAAGAAAAUUCAACGUGUCCAAAAUGUUAGGUAAUAUUGUCAAUAUUUCAAGAUUCACAACGAAAAUGUAGUUUAUCAAUAGAUAUUGAUAAUAUUGUAUUACCAGUACAAAUUGAUCCUUUUAGUUGAGAACAUAGAAAUAUUGGCAAUAUACAAGUUGUAUCGUAACAUAUGGGGUCUACUUCAGGAGUGGACAGGAAACGAAAAGACAAUGGUAAAAAUUCAAACAAACAGGUGUUCUACCUAUCCUUGUUUCAAAUUUACAGCUAUUUUUAUGUUUCAGUAAUCCGGAACAUAGAAGGUGUCCCAAAUGAUUACUCUCGAUCUGUAUUAUUCGAUAUACACCUGGAAUUUUUGAAAAAUUGCGAGAUUCCUUAACACGACCACUGUGAGUUUGUAUACAGAUCGAGGCUAACCAUUUCGAGCAUUUUCUAUAAAGGUAAACAGCUGCAGAUUAUUGAAACACAAAGAUGGUUAUAAUCUUGGAACAAGAUCAGAUAGGACACAUGUUCAUUUUCAUUGUUUUCGUGCCUUUUGUUCAUUCCUAAAGUGACUCCCAUAUGUUAUGAUACACCCUGUAUAUUGAUAUUCUCGAGGCAACCUUACGAAGUCCCUGUCCAGAAGAUGGAACACAUGCGAACUUAAAAGACCGUUAACAAGCUCUAAUAACAUCGCGCCACGAACACGGUUCUCUCGAUUCCCAACACGUAGAAUCAGUCGCAAUUUCGAACAGCCUCGGUGGAAGAUUACAUUCGCUAUUGAACAGCAUCGAUUCCAGCGAGCAAGUACAGCCUUAACAAAAGACGCACGUAAGCCAUGGCGAGGGAGGAAUGCAAAGAAAGCGGGAAUAAUUAAUACCCGGAGCACAUCCUCGCGCAGGGAGACGUAAGAGGAUAAUGCAAAUUUAAUGAACAUCCCACGGAUGAAGUCGGCGUUUUCAGAACGCGAGACGAGGCAGCUUUCGCGCGCGAUGGAAAUUCAUCAAGCUUUACCGGAGCAUUUUUAAUCAACCAGAAUAAGAAGAUAGGUACACACACACACACACACACACAUUUCCAUAUGUAUAUACAUAUACACAAGCGAGUCACUGCAGUUCACGGGCUCGCAAAGUGCUCGUGCUCUCAACUCAGAAGGAGUAUCCCCUUCCGUAAAUAAAACAGCGAAUAACCGCGGCCAGAGAAGCUCUGUCUAUUAAAACCGAAAUAAGAUCCACCGUGCGAAAUCACGUACCAUCAUCUUCAAAAUCCAAACGACGUCGUAAUCCACUUAAAUUCACUUUGAAAAGAAAAGAGAAGGAAAAACAUAGUUUCCAAUUCAAUUAGACAAGAAAAGAUAAAGUAAAAGAAACGAAACAAUUUGCGUUAAAAAUUUUCUAAUUCAAUAACAAAUAUAUAUAUUCAACAAGCUUUCCCAAUUUAAAAAAUGUAAAGGAAGAACAGUUUCAAUCAACUGGAUGUCGAUCCCACGGAACGCGACAUUUCAUAGCGAACGCAACGGAAAAUCGAAUGAAUCGGAUGAAAAAAAAAAAAAAAACCAAGUGGAAAAA